RNAcentral lists this ribosomal RNA (322 nucleotides) under uncultured eukaryote. RNAcentral describes it as "partial 18S ribosomal RNA". It matches the Rfam family "Eukaryotic small subunit ribosomal RNA", at positions 1470 to 1796 of the family's 1831-position model. The record is from RNAcentral.
CCCUUAGAUGUCCUGGGCCGCACGCGCGCUACACUGACAUGUUCAACAAGUUUCUCCUAGUUCGACAGGACUGGGAAAUCUUUGAACGCAUGUCGUGAUAGGGAUAGAUCAUUACAAUUAUUGAUCUUGAACGAGGAAUUCCUAGUAAACGCGAGUCAUCAGCUCGCAUUGAUUACGUCCCUGCCCUUUGUACACACCGCCCGUCGCACCUACCGAUUGAAUGUUUCGGUGAAGAUUCCGGAUAGGACUGAUUUGAUUUAUUUCAUUUCUGACCUAAAAGCUAUCUAAACCUCAACAUUUAGAGGAAGGUGAAGUCGUAACA